RNAcentral lists this ribosomal RNA (636 nucleotides) under uncultured Alteromonadaceae bacterium. RNAcentral's name for it is "bacterial SSU rRNA". It matches the Rfam family "Bacterial small subunit ribosomal RNA", at positions 59 to 692 of the family's 1533-position model. Lineage: Bacteria; Pseudomonadati; Pseudomonadota; Gammaproteobacteria; Alteromonadales; Alteromonadaceae. The record is from RNAcentral.
CAGUCGAACGGUAACAUUUCUAGCUUGCUAGAAGAUGACGAGUGGCGGACGGGUGAGUAAUGCUUGGGAACUUGCCUUUGCGAGGGGGAUAACAGUUGGAAACGACUGCUAAUACCGCAUAAUGUCUUCGGACCAAACGGGGCUUCGGCUCCGGCGCAAAGAGAGGCCCAAGUGAGAUUAGCUAGUUGGUAAGGUAACGGCUUACCAAGGCUACGAUCCGUAGCUGGUCUGAGAGGAUGAUCAGCCACAUCGGGACUGAGACACGGCCCGAACUCCUACGGGAGGCAGCAGUGGGGAAUAUUGGACAAUGGGGGCAACCCUGAUCCAGCCAUGCCGCGUGUGUGAAGAAGGCUUUCGGGUUGUAAAGCACUUUCAGUAGGGAGGAAAACCUUAUGGCUAAUACCCAUGAGGCUUGACGUUACCUACAGAAGAAGCACCGGCUAACUCCGUGCCAGCAGCCGCGGUAAUACGGAGGGUGCAAGCGUUAAUCGGAAUUACUGGGCGUAAAGCGCGCGUAGGUGGUUUGGUAAGCGAAAUGUGAAAGCCCCGGGCUUAACCUGGGAACGGCAUUUCGAACUGUCAGGCUAGAGUGUGGUAGAGGGUAGUGGAAUUUCCUGUGUAGCGGUGAAAUGCGUA